CUUGAGCACGUAGGUGGGUUUGUAAGUCAGGUGUGAAAGCCUUCUGUUCAACGGGAGAAUUGCAUCUGAAACUACGAAUCUUGAGUGUAGGAGGGGAGAAUGGAACUUCUGGUGGAGCGGUGAAAUGCGUAGAUAUCAGAAGGAACGCCGGCGGCGAAAGCGAUUCUCUGGCCUAUUACUGACACUCAGUGUGCGAAAGCUAGGGGAGCAGACGGGAUUAGAUACCCCGGUAGUCCUAGCCGUAAACGAUGGGCACUAAGUAGUGGGAAUUACCGACGUUCUCUCUGCCGUAGCUAACGCAUUAAGUGCCCCGCCUGGGGAGUACGGCCGCAAGGCUAAAACUCAAAAGAAUUGACGGGGGCUCGCACAAGCGGUGGAGCAUGUGGCUUAAUUCGAUGCAACGCGAAGAACCUUACCGGGGCUUGACAUGGUAGAAGUAGGAACCCGAAAGGGUAACGAACGGUAUCCAGUCCGUGACUAUCACAGGUGUUGCAUGGCUGUCGUCAGCUCGUGUCGUGAGACGUUGGGUUAAGUCCCCUAACGAGCGAAACCCUUGUUUUUAGUUACCAGCGGGUUAUGCCGGGUACUCUAGAAAGACUGCCGUCGUCAAGACGGAGGAAGGUGGGGAUGACGUCAAGUCAUCAUGGCCCUUAUGCCCCGGGCUGCACACGUGCUACAAUGGUCGGUACAAACGGAAGCGAAGCCGAGAGGUAAAGCGAAUCCAAGC
Molecule: ribosomal RNA, 727 nt
Filed under: uncultured Planctomycetota bacterium
Lineage: Bacteria; Pseudomonadati; Planctomycetota
Description: bacterial SSU rRNA
Rfam family: Bacterial small subunit ribosomal RNA
Source: RNAcentral